RNAcentral lists this unclassified non-coding RNA (488 nucleotides) under Hevea brasiliensis (rubber tree). Lineage: Eukaryota; Viridiplantae; Streptophyta; Magnoliopsida; Malpighiales; Euphorbiaceae. The record is from RNAcentral.
CCAAAAACAAAAAAAAAAAAAAAAGGAUUGCUUCUUGCAAGGCCAGCCCCAGGAGCAGCAUAUUUUCAUUUGAGACCACCGAGACAGACCAGUAGCAGUACAAUAGAUGUUUGUCCCUAUUAGCUUUGUGCAUAAUUUAAACCUAGGAACCUGCGCCUUUUAACCCUCUUUUCUGCACCUUUGCUUGUGUUCUCAAACCCCAAGAUUCACAUCUCUCUGACAGGUGAGUUUUCUUGUCAAGCAAAACUGAAAAAGUAAAGAAAACGCAGCUUCCCCAAUGUCUCUUUGAGAUUCUGAUAGCGAUACAUCUUUUUCCCCUAUUCAAUCGCUUCGCUACAAUCAUGGUGGUGAUUGUGCAUUGCGCGAAGGAGGGACCCUUGCUCAAGGAAAAACAGAGAAAGAAACUCCCUUUUCCAUUUCCAUUCCAUGGCGUCCCUCACGCCUGCAUUUUCGAGAAGCUUCGAUAGCAUCCCAGGCGUGAGGGACGC